RNAcentral lists this ribosomal RNA (253 nucleotides) under uncultured bacterium. RNAcentral's name for it is "partial 16S ribosomal RNA". It matches the Rfam family "Bacterial small subunit ribosomal RNA", at positions 524 to 776 of the family's 1533-position model. The record is from RNAcentral.
UACGUAGGGUGCGAGCGUUGUCCGGAAUUAUUGGGCGUAAAGGGCUCGUAGGCGGUUUGUCGCGUCGGGAGUGAAAACCUCGGGCUUAACUCGGGGCUUGCUUUCGAUACGGGCAGACUGGAGGUAUGCAGGGGAGAACGGAAUUCCUGGUGUAGCGGUGAAAUGCGCAGAUAUCAGGAGGAACACCGAUGGCGAAGGCAGUUCUCUGGGCCGUAACUGACGCUGAGGAGCGAAAGCGUGGGGAGCGAACAGG